RNAcentral lists this ribosomal RNA (324 nucleotides) under uncultured bacterium. RNAcentral's name for it is "bacterial SSU rRNA". It matches the Rfam family "Bacterial small subunit ribosomal RNA", at positions 28 to 334 of the family's 1533-position model. The record is from RNAcentral.
GAUGAACGCUGGCGGCGUGCUUAACACAUGCAAGUCGAGCGAAGCGCUUUUUUAGAACUCUUCGGAGGGAAGAGAGGGUGACUUAGCGGCGGACGGGUGAGUAACGCGUGGGCAACCUGCCUUACACAGGGGGAUAACAAUUAGAAAUGAUUGCUAAUACCGCAUAAGACCCCGGUACCGCAUGGUACAGAGGUAAAAACUGAGGUGGUGUAAGAUGGGCCCGCGUCUGAUUAGGUAGUUGGUGGGGUAGAAGCCUACCAAGCCGACGAUCAGUAGCCGACCUGAGAGGGCGACCGGCCACAUUGGGACUGAGACACGGCCCAA